UCUUCAAACAGUUAAUCGGUCAGAUGGCAGAGGGAGCCUGGAGAACUGAAGGUUGAAUAGGGCUACGUCAUUCUCAGAUCAUGGUAGACACCUUCUGACACGGACCUCCGCAGCAUCCAGCCCCUUACACCUCAAUGUUUGAUUUGCAUCUUCCUCCAUCCUUUCAUUUCCUCUUGCCUCAGAAGAAUGGUCCCUCCUCCCUUAGGAGGUUCCUUUCACCCUCUCCUAUCUCCCAUCUCUAGGACACACCCCACCAAUCACCACCCUUCCAGAAUCUUUCAUUUUCCCUUCUCUACUGGCUUCUUCCCACAAACCUGCAACUAUGAGGAAGAUAAUGAUUUGGGUACUUAUUAUGCAGCAGGUGCCUAGAGAUUUAUGUGCCCUGACCAAUCCUCACACCAAUCCAACGAAGCAGGUGAUGUCUUCUCCAUUUAGAGAUGAGGAAAUGGGAGACUUCGAGUUGUUCAGUGACAUUCCCAAGCUCACACAGUCCAGGUCCCUCCUUCCACGAGUCGCUAGUCAUCUUAGAGGAUCUGAGGACUCAGCUGAAACUGGCAAUUUCACAGGGAUCUAACCUCAGUUCUUUUUUUCGGGGUGGCCAUGUGCCCAGUUGCAAAUAAUCACCUUCCCAGAUUUCCUAACAGCUGGAGUGACCACGUGACCCAGUUCUGGCCAAUGAAUGUAACUAGAUGUCUCCUGGGUGGGGUCUCCAGGAGAGCUGUUGUUUUCUUGAUCAAAGGGAGCAACUCCCUGGCACUGUCUUUUGCAUUUUUCUCCACUCCCUUCCUCUCCCAUCCCUGCCUGGACGCCAUAUGCAACACUUAGGGGUGGAGCAGCCAUUUUGAAACCACAAGACUGGAUGAAUAGAAACAUAGAAGAAAGCCUGAUCUCCAAUGGCAUCAUGGAACCUCUUCUCUGGUCAUGGACUCCCUACUUCUGAGCUUCUUGUUGUCUGAAAAAAAUAAACCCUACUUGGCUAACUCAGUUAGAGCUAUGGUUUCUGCUGUUGAAACAGGGAGUGACAGUGAGAUGAGACUGGGAAGGAGGGCAGAAGGCUGACCAUCAAGGGCCAUGACUGUUAGGAAGGCUCCAUAGCCGCUAUACAGACUGAAAUGAGUUUCUGC
Molecule: long non-coding RNA, 1124 nt
Organism: Callorhinus ursinus (northern fur seal)
Lineage: Eukaryota; Metazoa; Chordata; Mammalia; Carnivora; Otariidae
Source: RefSeq, a predicted model, not a curated record